Molecule: transfer RNA, 57 nt
Filed under: Salmonella enterica subsp. enterica serovar Typhimurium
Lineage: Bacteria; Pseudomonadati; Pseudomonadota; Gammaproteobacteria; Enterobacterales; Enterobacteriaceae
Description: tRNA-Val
Rfam family: tRNA
About the family: Transfer RNA (tRNA) molecules are approximately 80 nucleotides in length.
Source: RNAcentral
UAGCUCAGUUGGUUAGAGCACCACCUUGACAUGGUGGGGGUCGAUGGUUCGAGUCCA